CCUACGGGAGGCUGCAGUGGGGAAUAUUGGACAAUGGGCGAAAGCCUGAUCCAGCCAUGCCGCGUGUGUGAAGAAGGCCUUCGGGUUGUAAAGCACUUUCAGUGGGGAAGAAAGCCUUGGGGCUAAUACCCCCGAGGAAGGACAUCACCCACAGAAGAAGCACCGGCUAACUCCGUGCCAGCAGCCGCGGUAAUACGGAGGGUGCGAGCGUUAAUCGGAAUUACUGGGCGUAAAGCGCGCGUAGGCGGUCUGAUAAGCCGGUUGUGAAAGCCCCGGGCUCAACCUGGGAACGGCAUCCGGGACUGUCAGGCUAGAGUGCAUGAGAGGAAGGUAGAAUUCCCGGUGUAGCGGUGAAAUGCGUAGAGAUCGGGAGGAAUACCGGUGGCGAAGGCAGCCUUCUGGACUAACACUGACGCUGAGGUACGAAAGCGUGGGUAGCAAACAGGAUUAGAUACCCGGGUAGUC
This 465-nucleotide ribosomal RNA is filed under the name Vreelandella stevensii. RNAcentral's name for it is "partial 16S ribosomal RNA". It matches the Rfam family "Bacterial small subunit ribosomal RNA", at positions 338 to 795 of the family's 1533-position model. The record is from RNAcentral. Lineage: Bacteria; Pseudomonadati; Pseudomonadota; Gammaproteobacteria; Oceanospirillales; Halomonadaceae.